UACGGAGGGAGCUAGCGUUGUUCGGAAUCAUUGGGUUUAAAGGGUCCGUAGGCGGCCUUAUAAGUCAGUGGUGAAAUCCCAUCGCUUAACGAUGGAACUGCCAUUGAUACUGUAGGGCUUGAAUAAUUAGGAAGUAACUAGAAUAUGUAGUGUAGCGGUGAAAUGCUUAGAUAUUACGUGGAAUACCAAUUGCGAAGGCAGGUUACUACUAGUUUAUUGACGCUGAUGACGAAAGCGUGGGGAGCGAACAGG
RNAcentral lists this ribosomal RNA (252 nucleotides) under uncultured bacterium. RNAcentral's name for it is "partial 16S ribosomal RNA". It matches the Rfam family "Bacterial small subunit ribosomal RNA", at positions 524 to 776 of the family's 1533-position model. The record is from RNAcentral.